Non-coding RNA from Lactuca sativa (garden lettuce), 959 nucleotides. NCBI's taxonomy places the organism in Eukaryota, Viridiplantae, Streptophyta, Magnoliopsida, Asterales, Asteraceae. The record is from RefSeq and is a predicted model, not a curated record.
AAGAUGCAGCAAACACCAGCACAACCUAAACCCAUUUGAUUUCCCGUUGAUGUACAAUCCCCACCCCACAUGUCGAUUUAUUGGAAUCGAUUUCAUCAUCUCUCAUUUCAAGAUCUGGGGUUGCAGGCGUGUUAUCUCCUUCUUCCCUAAAUGUUGAUUUUAUCAUCUGUCGAUUUCUUGUCGAUGUACACUGUCAAGACCUUCAUCUCCAUUACAAUAAUUUGAGAGCCAUCAUCAAGAAUCACCAUCAGAUCGACGAAACUAAAGCAACACCAUAAAUUAUUUCUAAGUUCUUGAAUCUAGUCCGAAAAACAUGAGCCUCCGUUUCUCAUCGCAAGAUUCGAUUUUAAUCUUCAUUUUUUGAGGUUUCGCUCAACAUUUCAACAUCUGGUUCAAGAAUAAGUUUGCUCAUUCCGGAAAAAGCAGGCAGUCUCGCCAGAGAAGAUGAAGGAAUGAGAGGCAUUCUACGAAAAUGGUGGUGCUAGGAACUCGAUGUGGAAUGGUUGCUUGAUCUGUAAUCGAUUUCAAUUUCAUCAGAUUUCCAGUGAGUAAUUGUCUUCCUCGGAGGCUCUGAAAGAAUAUAUUCAACCAUGAUCGAUUGUUCUUCCUUAGGGAUGAAUAUACAAGCACAAAUCAAUUUUUAGAAACAAAAACCACACAUACAAAUCGAUUUCAUACUUUUUUCUAGGUUUUUAGUUCCUAAAUCAAUUUUAAAGGACAAACGAGUUCGUAUUCAUUUUCUGGGGUUUUUUUUUUUGAUGUUCCAGAUUUAUUUUGGUGUUUCAGAUUUAAUUUUGAUUUUUUUCUACUUCUAGAAAUGGUUUAGGAGUUAUGAAAUGUUUUUUUUUAUGUUUGUAUGUAUGUGUUGUUGGUGCCAUGGAGAGAGAGAGAGAGAGAGAGAGAGAGAGAGAGAGAGAGAGAGAGAGAGAGAUUAUAUAUCAAAUAAUUAUAUUUAGUUU